GGAUCAUUCCGCGGUUGAAUUUGAUUGCACUACCGCCACAAUACUACCGCACCACCGUCGUAUAACCGUCACACCGCCGUAUAACUGUCGAAGUCAGUAUAUCAGUUUUAUACGAGGACCUGCUGAAAAACCAAAUGAACAAUACUACAAGCGAACACCUCUUACAUUGGUGUGACACACAAUCUGGCAGCAGCAAUAACAAACCAUUAUCGUAUUCUAGCUAGUUCUCUUUCCAUAGGAGUGGAGCACUUGAUGAGGGAUGUGAAGUAUACAACACUUGCAACAGAUACCAUAGUUUAGAAUUUCAACUUCAUCUACAAUUCUUGCAAGUAAAGCUACUGGUCUACUGCAAGCCAUGCUACUGGUCUACUGUGAUGAUGUGAUUUUGUUUAUGGGUUUAAGAUUAUUCUUAGUUGACAUAUACCUUACAUAUCUUAUUUGUUGGGAUUUUAAAAAUGUAUUGCUUAUACAAUAUAAGUGAUUUUGAUUGAUUUAUAGCUUA
Long non-coding RNA from Erigeron canadensis, 502 nucleotides. RefSeq lists it as uncharacterized. The transcript has 3 exons. The record is from RefSeq and is a predicted model, not a curated record. Lineage: Eukaryota; Viridiplantae; Streptophyta; Magnoliopsida; Asterales; Asteraceae.